This 497-nucleotide ribosomal RNA is filed under the name uncultured bacterium. Its description in RNAcentral is "partial 16S ribosomal RNA". It matches the Rfam family "Bacterial small subunit ribosomal RNA", at positions 28 to 507 of the family's 1533-position model. The record is from RNAcentral.
GAUGAACGCUGGCGGCGUGCCUAAUACAUGCAAGUCGAGCGAACAGACGAGGAGCUUGCUCCUCUGACGUUAGCGGCGGACGGGUGAGUAACACGUGGAUAACCUACCUAUAAGACUGGGAUAACUUCGGGAAACCGGAGCUAAUACCGGAUAAUAUAUUGAACCGCAUGGUUCAAUAGUGAAAGACGGUUUUGCUGUCACUUAUAGAUGGAUCCGCGCCGCUUUAGCUAGUUGGUAAGGUAACGGCUUACCAAGGCAACGAUGCGUAGCCGACCUGAGAGGGUGAUCGGCCACACUGGAACUGAGACACGGUCCAGACUCCUACGGGAGGCAGCAGUAGGGAAUCUUCCGCAAUGGGCGAAAGCGUGACGGAGCAACGCCGCGUGAGUGAUGAAGGUCUUCGGAUCGUAAAACUCUGUUAUUAGGGAAGAACAAAUGUGUAAGUAACUAUGCACGUCUUGACGGUACCUAAUCAGAAAGCCACGGCUAACUACGUG